This 253-nucleotide ribosomal RNA is filed under the name uncultured bacterium. RNAcentral's name for it is "partial 16S ribosomal RNA". It matches the Rfam family "Bacterial small subunit ribosomal RNA", at positions 524 to 776 of the family's 1533-position model. The record is from RNAcentral.
UACGGGGGGAGCAAGCGUUGUUCGGAUUUACUGGGCGUAAAGGGCGCGUAGGCGGCCCCGCAAGUCAAUUGUGAAAUCUCCGGGCUUAACUCGGAAAGGUCAACUGAUACUGCGGGGCUAGAGUUCGGAAGGGGCAACUGGAAUUCUUGGUGUAGCGGUGAAAUGCGUAGAUAUCAAGAGGAACACCUGCGGCGAAGGCGGGUUGCUGGGCCGACACUGACGCUGAGGCGCGAAAGCUAGGGGAGCGAACGGG